Molecule: ribosomal RNA, 213 nt
Filed under: uncultured bacterium
Lineage: Bacteria
Description: partial 16S ribosomal RNA
Rfam family: Bacterial small subunit ribosomal RNA
Source: RNAcentral
CAGUUCGGAUUGCAGGCUGCAACCCGCCCUGCAUGAAGUUGGAAUCGCUAGUAAUCGCGGAUCAGCAUGCCGCGGUGAAUACGUUCCCGGGCCUUGUACACACCGCCCGUCACACCAUGAGAGUCGGGAACACCCGAAGUCCGUAGUCUGACCGCAAGGGGGACGCGGCCGAAGGUGGGUUCGAUAAUUGGGGUGAAGUCGUAACAAGGUAUC